This 440-nucleotide ribosomal RNA is filed under the name uncultured bacterium. RNAcentral's name for it is "partial 16S ribosomal RNA". It matches the Rfam family "Bacterial small subunit ribosomal RNA", at positions 338 to 795 of the family's 1533-position model. The record is from RNAcentral.
CCUACGGGAGGCAGCAGUGGGGAAUAUUGCACAAUGGGGGAAACCCUGAUGCAGCGACGCCGCGUGAGUGAAGAAGUAUUUCGGUAUGUAAAGCUCUAUCAGCAGGGAAGAAAAUGACGGUACCUGAUUAAGAAGCCACGGCUAACUACGUGCCAGCAGCCGCGGUAAUACGUAGGGGGCAAGCGUUAUCCGGAUUUACUGGGUGUAAAGGGGACGUAGACGGCUGCACAAGUCUGGAGUGAAAUGCCGGGGCUUAACCCCGGAACUGCUUUGGAAACUGUGCAGCUAGAGUGCAGGAGAGGUAAGUGGAAUUCCUAGUGUAGCGGUGAAAUGCGUAGAUAUUGGGAGGAACACCAGUGGCGAAGGCAGCUUACUGGACUGUAACUGACGUUGAGGCUCGAAAGCGUGGGGAGCGAACAGGAUUAGAUACCCUAGUAGUC